AAGAUUAAGCCAUGCAUGUCUAAGUAUAAGCACUCAUACUGCGAAACUGCGAAUGGCUCAUUAAAUCAGUUAUCGUUUAUUUGAUAGUACCUUUACUACUUGGUAUAACCGUGGUAAUUCUAGAGCUAAUACAUGCUAAAACCCCGACUGUUUGGAAGGGGUGUAUUUAUUAGAUAAAAUACAAUGCUCUUCUGAGCUCUUUGAUGAUUCAUAAUAACUUUUCGAAUCGCAU
RNAcentral lists this ribosomal RNA (232 nucleotides) under uncultured fungus. RNAcentral's name for it is "partial 18S ribosomal RNA". It matches the Rfam family "Eukaryotic small subunit ribosomal RNA", at positions 40 to 274 of the family's 1831-position model. Lineage: Eukaryota; Fungi. The record is from RNAcentral.